This is an RNA transcript of Solea senegalensis (Senegalese sole), 3279 nucleotides long. It is a transcript of the gene named enoyl CoA hydratase domain containing 2, with no coding region annotated. The record is from RefSeq and is a predicted model, not a curated record. NCBI's taxonomy places the organism in Eukaryota, Metazoa, Chordata, Actinopteri, Pleuronectiformes, Soleidae. The transcript has 13 exons.
GACCAGACUGACCAGUGGCAUUUUGAGUUUGAGACCCUGCUGUAACGAUAAAAUCAAAAAAAGACAUGUGUCGCGAUAAAACCUUGAUAUUGUGGAUGUUGUCUCUGUACUUAAUAAAGUGGUAAAUGAUUGUGCUUCAGGCUGUCAACGCUGUAAUUUGUACCCUUUUAUUUGUCAUUUGAAGGUCACGCGAGGAGCAGCUAAACUUACUUCCUAAUCCUGUUUACCUGCAUCAAACUUCCUGUUCUACAACUCUGCGGCUUCUCCUUCGUCUUCUUUCUCCCGCUUAAAAAGUAAAGAAGCAGGCGCGUCAUGUUAAAGCUCCUCCGGACAGUAGACGGGCCGUGGUGUUGGUCGUGGAAGUCUCUGGAAGCAACGCUGCGGGGAACGCACUUCCGGGCCGGAGCGCAAAUGUUAGCCGGUGGACGUGAACCUCUAACGGGAAGCAUCCGCGCACCGAGCCGUAGGCAGCAACACACGGCGGCCGCAGAGCCUGUGGAGGUGGAUGUGAAGCGGUUAGAGGAGGAACACGAUGGAAUAGUGGAGGUGCAAAUGUGUCGACACAAGGCAAGAAACGCUCUGGGCCAUGUGUUUGUGUCACAGAUGAGGGAGCUGGUGUCCACUCUGUCCAGUGACUCGUCAGUCCGCGUGGUCGUCUUCAAGAGUUUAGUACCAAAGGUUUUCUGUGCAGGCGCAGACCUGAAGGAGAGAGCUUUGAUGACGGACAGCGAGUCUGACCUGUUCGUUCACGGCCUGCGUUCACUCAUGACUCAGAUAGCACUGUUGCCCAUGCCGACCAUCGCAGCCAUUGAUGGCGUUGCCGUGGGCGGUGGACUGGAGCUUGCCUUGGCCUGUGACCUCCGCACUGCAGUGUAUUCAGCACAGAUGGGACUGAUUGAGACGACACGGGGGCUGCUCCCAGGAGCGGGGGGCAGUCAGCGGCUGCCAAGGAUGGUGGGCAUCACUCUGGCCAAAGAGCUCAUCUUCACGGGGAGGUGUGUGGGAGGGCAGGCAGCUCUGGAGAUGGGGCUCGUAAACAGAGCUGUAGAACAGAACCAGACAGGAGACGCUGCCUACAGAGAAGCACUGAGCCUGGCCACAGAGAUUGUGCCCCAGUUGCUCCAGCAGUGAGGAUCGUAGCUCAGGGCUCAACGUCCAGGCUUCCUCUCCUCGUGACGUCAGAUGUGCAAGGAUGCCUGCGGCAAAGUAGCUGACCUCCACCUCUGGACUGUGCAGCAGAGUUCUGAUGUGGUCCAGGAACCCCUGCACCAUCAGCUCCCCGUGCAACUCCCCGACCUCUGCAAUGUUGUUCUACACAACAGAAGGGUAAAAACAGAGCGGUUAACUCACCAACAGACCCAGAACCUUCUGCUGGAUAGAAGACUCACUGGGGAAGGACUGCAGGGAGCAUGGUGGAAGCAGAAGCAAAAAAAAACAAUUUCCUUCUCCAGAGAGUAAGUCAGAAAAACCAGCGUCUGUAGCCAGAAGUCCCAUAAAGGUCAUACCUGGUCUCUCCUCAACAAAUGCUUUCACAGCUGCAUCGGUCACCUACAAUAUUAAGAAAUAGAAACAAGAGCGGGCAGGAUUCCCGGCUGUCCAAGCAGCUGACGAGCCACAUCCGAGGUAAACUGCUUAUCAUCGCUGAUGUCCAGGUGCUGCAGAGGCACAGUUUCAGUCUCUUCUGACCUGCAGUACAUCCAACUGGCGUAUGACUCCCAGCAGCUGAGCCGUGCUCAUUUCCAGUCUCUUCAGCUGGUGUAGUGUGAGUGAGCGCAGACGCUCCUUCAGGCCCAGCAGAGGGGUGAGGUUGGUGAUCGAGGUGUUGGAGAUAUCAAGACUUUCCAGACGGGGCAGGGAGCACACGUCCACUAACCCACAGUCAUAGAAGUCUACAUUGGCUAGAGAGAGUGAGCGGAGGCCCGGGAGGGAGCUGAAGCGAUACCGGAUUGGUUCUUCCAGAGAAAACAUGGUGAGACCUGUUAAGCUGAGACGCUGAAGGGACUCCUGUCGAGUUUUAAAAAAGUAAACAAAACCAACGAGCUGUUAUUUUAAAUGAUGACAGAGGGAGCGGUGCUUAGCCAACACACAAACAUACUUCCACUUUACCUGGCAGUAUUUAUUGGUAGCCAGUCCCUGUAGAAUAUCAUGGAUAGUGAGGUCUGCAUUGACUCUAGCAGCAUCCAGCUCCAACAGUCUGUGAGGACAGAUGGCUUUCUGGAAGGCUUCCGCAGAGAUACGCGCCGUUCGGAUGCAGGCUCGUCUCAGACGCAGGUAUUCACAGUUACGAAAUACACCCACUGUGCUGUCAUUCAAUAGACCUGCAGAGUGACAACAUGUUAAUGUUCACUUUCCAUCUGGACCAUCUGAUAAAAGCUCUUUUAUUUUUCUUUAACUUUGAGGAGGGGGCACUUAAUCAUGGACAAACGGCACUAAGAGGAUUAGCUCUUUGUGGAAUUCUGGCUCUUGAUUAGAUAAUGAUAUGGGAUAGUGGAGAAGUUUCUCCUUGAUUUACUAUCAGACCCUUGAGACUGAAGUCGUUUUCAGUCAUGAACUCCAAAUAAUGUCAAAACAACUGGGUGUGGACAUUUUCCCGAGUUCCUGGGUGUGGACAGUUCCAGCUGCCAUUCACUUCACGGAUUAUGUGGGUUCAGAAAUGACCAGCUCUAUGUGUUGUGGGAUACCUUCAGUCGCUAUCUUGGCCAGCAGCUGGUCUGCUAGCUCCUGUGGGAAGUGUACAGCCUCUCUGAAGCACAGAGAACCAUCGGGACGCUUGGCACAGAAACACUCAAAGUUUUGGCUCACAUAGGUCAGACAUAGGUCUGUUAGUGCUGCAGGGGAUGCCUCUUCCUGAAAAACAUUUAAUAACACAAGGCAAUUUAUUUUAACAGUUAAUACUUAGUCUGGAUAUGUAGAACAGAUAAAUACUUUAAUUAUUCCUAUUCAACAUGGAGCAAGCAAAUUUCAAGUCAACACUGAAAAAAGACAUUUUUAAUUACAGAAUUUUGUAUUUUGACUUAUCAAAAAUAAAUGUCUGAAUUACAGAUAUCUCUGUCAAAGUUAGCAGUCACAUACAAUAUCUCACGGUUAUGUUGAUUAAUCAAAACUGGAGUAAAAAUUAUGUUAAUAUCUGUAAGUCAUCAGCUAGACAAAUCUGAAAUACAAUUAUCUGCAUCAUUUCAAUCUGUAAAAAUUAUUAUUCAGUUUUAAUUAGGGAUGUAUAAUAUUGGACAUUUUGCUGGUAUCUGAUAUGCCAAUAAAUUGAUACUGAUAUAUAGCCUA